GUAGGGCGCGAGCGUUGUCCGGAAUUAUUGGGCGUAAAGAGCUCGUAGGCGGCUGGUCGCGUCUGUCGUGAAAUCCUCUGGCUUAACUGGGGGCUUGCGGUGGGUACGGGCCGGCUUGAGUGCGGUAGGGGAGACUGGAACUCCUGGUGUAGCGGUGGAAUGCGCAGAUAUCAGGAAGAACACCGGUGGCGAAGGCGGGUCUCUGGGCCGUUACUGACGCUGAGGAGCGAAAGCGUGGGGAGCGAACAGGAUUAGAUACCCUGGUAGUCCACGCCGUAAACGUUGGGCACUAGGUGUGGGGGGCCUUUUCCGGGUCUUCCGCGCCGUAGCUAACGCAUUAAGUGCCCCGCCUGGGGAGUACGGCCGCAAGGCUAAA
RNAcentral lists this ribosomal RNA (376 nucleotides) under uncultured bacterium. RNAcentral describes it as "bacterial SSU rRNA". It matches the Rfam family "Bacterial small subunit ribosomal RNA", at positions 527 to 898 of the family's 1533-position model. The record is from RNAcentral.